CCUACGGGUGGCAGCAGUGAGGAAUAUUGGUCAAUGGGGGAAACCCUGAACCAGCAACGCCGCGUGAGGGAAGACGGUUUUCGGAUUGUAAACCUCUGUCCUCUGUGAAGAUAAUGACGGUAGCAGAGGAGGAAGCUCCGGCUAACUACGUGCCAGCAGCCGCGGUAAUACGUAGGGGGCAAGCGUUGUUCGGAAUGACUGGGCGUAAAGGGUGUGUAGGCGGUGUAGCAAGUUAGAAGUGAAAUACCUAGAGCUUAACUCAGGUGCUGCUUCUAAAACUGCUAUACUUGAGUGCAGUAGAGGAAAGUGGAAUUCCUAGUGUAGCGGUGGAAUGCGUAGAUAUUAGGAGGAACAUCAGUGGCGAAGGCGACUUUCUGGACUGUAACUGACGCUGAGGCACGAAAGUGUGGGGAGCAAACAGGAUUAGAUACCCUUGUAGUC
This 441-nucleotide ribosomal RNA is filed under the name uncultured bacterium. RNAcentral describes it as "partial 16S ribosomal RNA". It matches the Rfam family "Bacterial small subunit ribosomal RNA", at positions 338 to 795 of the family's 1533-position model. The record is from RNAcentral.